Molecule: non-coding RNA, 81 nt
Organism: Mucispirillum schaedleri ASF457
Lineage: Bacteria; Pseudomonadati; Deferribacterota; Deferribacteres; Deferribacterales; Mucispirillaceae
Source: Rfam
GCGGAUGUGGCGGAAUUGGUAGACGCGCUAGACUUAGGAUCUAGUGUCUUCGGCGUGGGGGUUCGAGUCCCUUCAUCCGCA